ACGAAGCAGUCAUGGAAGUGGAGGCGGAUGAGACUGGCCGGGAUGCGCGGGUCGGAGACGCGCGCGCUCUGGAUGACGCGACGGACGACGUUGUAGGCGCCGGGGCACGACAGGUCGUAGAACGCGGAGCUCAGCGCCGCGCCGGCGUGGCCACGGGCGACUCCAGCCAGAGCGAGCAGGAGAGCGCAGUGCCAGUGCGCGGCUAACAGCCACGCAGGAGACGAGAUGCGAGAGGAAGCCGCCAUGCCCGCGCACUUGCACAGUUGCAGGAGACGAGAUGCGAGCUGCUAACGGAUGUCAGUGGAGAGGGGUAGCGGCUCGCUAAUGACAGCGUCGCGGUCUCCCGGACUGGUUUGGAUGGAUGGAUGGAUGUGAGAGGACUGGUUGGAUGUGCGAAUGAAGGAUCGAGUACGUAUUUAUAGUCUCGAUCUCGACUGAUAAUAUUAUAAUAAGCUCGCGGACGUUUCUCUGGUACACAUGGGCUGGGAUUGUUGGGUGCUCUGGUUUGACCAGAGCAUGACCAUUUGAAUGGUUUAGUUUAGCACUGUGGCUGCAGCUGCGUGCACCUUCCUUUCGGCAUGCGGUUGCGAUGCUAAAAUAUUCUUUUCAGGAUUGAUCCGUGCAUGCAUGGUAGCGGCACGAGAAAAUGGAUCACGUUGAGUUGUUGAAUGAUGAUUGCGUGCUUGCGUGUGCUCGCCGAAAUUCGCCGCAAGCGGCAGGGCUUGGCAGCUGCCGGCCGGGGAAGGUGCCCAAAACUCUGUGGCAUGUUCCAUUUGCUUCUGAGAAGGAGCAAAAAGGGACGAACCGUAGGGUGCAAGUGUGCCGGGUUCACGGGUGCUUGCCAUCCCUGCCGACUGCUGGCGACCAACCAUGGGCCAUGAGUUUGCAGCUGCCAGGAAACAGCCGAUCGUGUGGCCGGGUCAGUGAGAGAGCCUCUCACACGAGCAAGUAGACGCCCAACCCAGCACCAUCAGUGUCUUUAUUAAUUUAAUGUUGCCGUUGGAGUUGCCCGCAUUCAGCCCGUGCUUACGCAGCGAGAAUAAGUGUGUCUCUCUCUCUCUCUCUCUCUCUCUCUCUCUCUCUCUAUAUAUAUAUAUAUAUAUAUAUAUAUAUAUAUAUAUAUAUUUUAUUAAUCAGUGGUAGGCUGUUGCCAAUAUAGUUCCUAAUCUUUCUUUAUUAUACCUCAAAUAUACUAGUUCUUAUUAUACAUGUUGUUAUUGUUAAUCAAUGGUCGUGUCGCCAACGCAUCACACAGAAGCUUUCAGAUUCAAAAAUUUCUGAGUGUGCCUGCCACACUUCCAAACGGUGGUUUAGGAGGCUUGGGAUAAGCCAACGCAUCACACAUAAGCAUUCCAUAGGCUUAGGCAUAAGGUACACACAACCGCAACCGUUCUCCGAGCCAGGAGUGAAUUAAUCCAUCAUUUCAGAAGCUAGAAUGAAAUUCCAUAUGGUGCAGAAAAUUAUACUCCUGCUUGACUCCACUCAAAAAUACACUUUCAACAGGAGUUCUGAAUUCACAAAAGGCUUAAAAGCGCCUCAUGGGCUAGGCUGUCAUUGAGAAAGCAAGGGAAAACACCAAUGCUCGGGAAUCUCAAACAUAGGAGAAGGAGACGCAAAUACCAAACAUUUUCACCUCAAGGUUAAUGCAAGACUGUGGAGAAAUUAAAUUCCACAAUUUACCCCAAUGAUAGAGCUCUCACACCUGGAAAAUGAAUAAAUAAUUUAUGAGCACUUCUCAACCACAAUGAGCAAGCAUCGGCUGUGCCAGAAAGACCUCAACUAGAGCAUCUUAGAUCUUGCAACAAUUAAUCCAUCGACCCUUGAGGCGCCAAUCUCGAAGGAGCAAAUUUAGAGGGCAAUUUCUCAAAUACAAAGGGACAAAGCACUAGGGUUGGAUGACUUUUUUAUCACACCGUGUAAGUACACCAACACAUGAAUCAAUGCACUCUCUUUCACUUCACAACUUUGAGCAUAUACAUAGUCUACCAAAGAUUGUACAAACUAGAAGCAUUGCAAUUGAGCUAGGACCCAAAGCGAAAAUACGAAUGCCCAUGGAAUCCACAUGUGAGGUAGUCCUUAAACCUACAUAAUACCAGCGGUAACCAAGUUGCUUCACUGCUUGACUUAGGAUGGCUUGAAAGCUGCACAAUGUAGGUCAAAUCCUGAUAUGAAAGAUGGAACCUAUAAGUGGUGUCAACAAAUAGAAUAUGAGAACCACAUCAUUUUUUAUGUGUUGUUGAGCACCAUUUUGACUAUAUCAUAUCAUUUUUUAUGUGUUGCUGAGAAAUCUUUUCACUAACUGUUGUCGCAUCUAGAUUGUCUUCAUGUAAAGCUUGUUGUCGAACAAAUGAGAAAUCUAGAAUAUAAUAUCUAUUGGUUGCAGGCGCCUUCAUACAUGCUUUCACAAUAUUUUUCUCAGCAGUUAUUUGAUAGGAUGGACUCCUUCCCAUUAUAAAAGUUUUUCUACCCUCUCUAGCACCAAUGAUGAAAUCAAUGACACAUAUAUGACUCUCCAUCAUGGAAGUUGGUUGCUGUUGAUAUUUCUUAUGCUCAAGAGAUAAUUACGCAACCGCAUAUAAUACUAUUGUAGCACUUUACCUAGAAGAAUUCCAAAGGUACCAUAUUAGCUAGUUUCAUCCAUAAGGAAGCAUGGCUAAGAGAGUAUUAAUGAAUAUGCGGCUUGGCUAUAUUAUAAGUAAUGCACCAAAGCCUAUUGGGGGUAAGUUGGUAAAGGAGAAUAAUGAAACAGAUAAGAACAACAAAGUCUCAAAAAGGUACAAGUAGGUAGAAUGGCUAGUUGCUUGGGAGGAUAACAUUAUAAGUAGAGCCAGAAAUAGUUCUCUACUACUUUAGUCUAAACAAGCAUAGACUAGUUAUAGAUAAUUAUGCACAUCUAAAUACUAGUAAUAAUCACACAACAAACAUGGGAGGAUAGACCCAUCAGACAAUAGAAUGGGGUGAGAAAGGUAUCAAACAGUUCCGACAAAGAACUCUAUGAUUUAAUAACUUGUCUGAACACGGCGGAAUAUACAGAAUAGGCAAGGAUGUCACCACUUGAUAUCUACCACGAACUAUCUGUGGGAGAGGUUAACAAGGGAUAUAUAUAGGGGUCCUAUCUCAAAUGGACCUUGAAGAGUGAAGAUGGACAAACAAAUGAGUCAUUGUACUUGAAGAGUUCUUGAAACUCUCACACCAUGUUCGAACGCAGUUCUUUUGCCCUAAUGGCACAUGCCCUCGCAAUAUGGACCACAGGAUUUGCUGAGAUCCUUGACCAACAGGAGAGUGCUGGGUAUGAAUCUCAGUGCGAAUCUUGUGAUCCACAUUGUGAGAGCAUGUAUUUAGGAGCAAAAUUUACUUUACCCACCGUGUUCCUACAUAUUCCUAUAAGAUCCAAAUAUGUAGUUGUCUAAUUGUUGGCUUUCAUCUUGUGAUCAACAUAAUUUCUUGCUGGAGAAAAUGGAUUUAUCAUUGACUGAAGAGCGACAAUUAAGUUGAGAUAAAAUCAUGGUUACACAUAUGACAAUAUUAACAACCUAUACUACUGCAAUCCUCAUGUUUCUUCAUAGAGUUCAAAUUCCGAAGGAAAAGACCAAAAGUUGUAGAGAAACUAGGUCCUUAUGGUGUUUCGUAGGGAACAUUUCCUAGAAAUGUUUUGACAUGAAACAAGUUUGUGCCCUACAUUUUUCUAAGAAACCGUAGGAAACAUGGUUUCCCUAGGAAAUGCAUAUAUUUCUAUAUAUAGAAAUUAUAUAUUUUUUUAGAUAUAUGCAUAAACAAAUGGUGUAAAAAUAAUUUUCACAUUUGCUUCCCAACAGAGGGUGCAUACAUUCUCACUCACAGUUUCAAACAAUGACACAAGAAUGAUCUGCGUGAACAUCAUCAUAACAGGUGAAAAAAAGGAAAUCAAACAAAUUAAAUUGAAUGAGAGUCUUCCUCAAUGGCCUUUGCUAUUGACCCUCCGGCAGUUCUUUCUGAUCUCUCCAUCCUUUCCUGUCAGCGGGCUGAUGUUGCCCAUCUUAAUCAUGGAUGUCACGAAGUUCGCAAAGAAAUCCUUUUGGUUACUCGCGAACCGGUGAACAACAGGUGCAGUGGUUGUCGGUGCCGCAGGGUCGGAUAGCAUGACCUGGUCGGACGAUAGCUGCGCUUGGCCGUGCAAGAGGUUGCCAUAAUACUUGUUGUCAAACACAGUGGGUGUAACCUGAUCCAGGUUCUCUAGUGCACCCUGUGGUUGCCCCGCCGAGCAGUUGUGACGCGUGAACUGGCACUGGACUUUGCCAAAUGUGUGCGCUCCUGGAGUACAAAUUUAUUGUUUGUUGAUAUCAUCAGUGUGUGCACGCCGUAUAUAAAAAGUAACUUCGCAAGUUUGAACUGUACGUGCAAAAAUAGUAUUAUUUGCUCAGCCUGUGUACGUUACCUUGGAGGGCGACGAGGUCAGUGUCGUCGAGGUUGACAUUUCUGAACUUCUCCUGGAGCUUGGCAAGGGUGUCGAAAGGGCUGGGAAGGUUGUUAGCACUCUGGACGUUGGUCGUCGUGCCGUCUCGGCGGCCAAGAAGCACCCUCCACCGUGGUCCUCCAGCCUGCGCGCGCCCAGUUCGUCCGUGCACGAUUCUUUCCCAUCAGUUGAGUUCAGGCGAGAAGCUAGAGAUAUAGUUUCAAUGCAAGAGGAUAUAGAGGAUCGGAGAUGCUUACGAGUUCAACGGAGAUCUCGGCUGCGAGGGCAAGGAUAUCAGCGCAGGAGACGAUGCCCGGGCACGCUUCCUCCAGCGCCCGCUUGAUGCCGUCGACCACCGGGAAGCCGCGCGCCGAGUUGUUGUUGGCUGGCACGUUCUUCUCGGUCUGGAUCGCCGGGAGAUCGUCGUCCAGAAGAAGGGAGCCGUCGCAACCCUGAAAACCAACAAUAUUUGACGCUCAUUCGUGUGUCAGAUGAUGCAAGCAGGCUUAUGUAGCUGCGUACAUGCUACAGGAGCACUAUCGAUCAGGUCACGUACGUUGACGAAGCAGUCAUGGAAGUGGAGGCGGAUGAGACUGGCCGGGAUGCGCGGGUCGGAGACGCGCGCGGCCUGGAUGACGCGACGGACGAUGCCGUAGGCGCCGGGGCACGACUGGUCGUAGAACGCGGAGCUAAGCGCCGCGCCGGCGGUCGGAGAGUGGCCACGGGCGGCUCCAGCCAGGGCGCCGAGCAUGAGAGCGCAGUGCGCGGCCAACAGCCAC
This 5211-nucleotide long non-coding RNA is filed under the name Sorghum bicolor (sorghum). Its description in RNAcentral is "long non-coding RNA (SBIC_LNC016650)". The record is from RNAcentral. Lineage: Eukaryota; Viridiplantae; Streptophyta; Magnoliopsida; Poales; Poaceae.